UCCGUAGGUGGAUCAAUCAGUCAGAGGUGAAAUCCCGCAGCUUAACUGUAGAACUGCCUUUGAUACUGUUGAUCUUGAGUCAUUAUGAAGUGGUUAGAAUGUGUAGUGUAGCGGUGAAAUGCAUAGAUAUUACACAGAAUACCGAUUGCGAAGGCAGAUCACUAAUAAUGUACUGACACUGAGGGACGAAAGCGUGGGGAGCGAACAGGAUUAGAUACCCUGGUAGUCC
RNAcentral lists this ribosomal RNA (229 nucleotides) under uncultured bacterium. RNAcentral's name for it is "partial 16S ribosomal RNA". It matches the Rfam family "Bacterial small subunit ribosomal RNA", at positions 568 to 796 of the family's 1533-position model. The record is from RNAcentral.